AGUUUCACCAGGAGAAAAAGUCUCUAAACUCAUGUAUAAUAUAUUAAUGAUAACUUAUCUUCUCUCCAGGCAUAGCUGAGAAUAUAAAAAGUGUGAAUAAAUGAACAUGGUGUUGGAGAGAAGAGAAACAUUAUGUGCUAUUCCAUCGGCAACGGGAGGGGUGUAAC
RNAcentral lists this long non-coding RNA (167 nucleotides) under Felis catus (domestic cat). Its description in RNAcentral is "lncRNA (ENSFCAG00000043576.2)". Lineage: Eukaryota; Metazoa; Chordata; Mammalia; Carnivora; Felidae. The record is from RNAcentral.